This is a long non-coding RNA of Cyprinus carpio carpio, 701 nucleotides long. Lineage: Eukaryota; Metazoa; Chordata; Actinopteri; Cypriniformes; Cyprinidae. The record is from Ensembl.
GGUAAGGCGUUCAAAACGCAGCGCAAUCGGAAGUUCGUCCUCUUUGCUUCAAUGCCAUCAGAGAGGAGAGGCAUAAUUAAGAGCUGUUGCAGAUAACAGUGCCUGUCUGUUUGCUUGUUUUACUACACAGGCACUACAAGUAAAUCCUCAUCAGUUAAAAACCAGCUUUGUGUGGACAAUCCUUUUAUUUAACAUCCCUAAAACACAACGCAGAGGAACAACCGCUACAAAACUGGUGCCGUGACCCGCCGACUGGUUGAUCGUUGUCGACCGCUGGGAUUGCUGACGUGGUGUGUGACUACCGAUGAGGGGGCUGGAGGUGCUUCUGUCAUCUGUUGCUGUUUCUUCGGUGGAGUUCGGACGUCUGACAGAUUGAACCGUGUCUAGGAGGAGACUGCUGACGUACUGUGUUGCAGAAAUUCAACGCUGAAGACGCAGGUGUGCGAAGUACAGACUGUUGAACUGGUGAUUUGUGUCUAAGGUGGAUCGAGUGAGCAGCGUGCUGGAUCAUCGAGGAGUGUCGCCGCCUAACUUGUUCUGACUGAACUGUAAAUGAAGGCAUAAUUAAGAGCUGUUGCAGAUAACAGUGCCUGUCUGUUUGCUUGUUUUACUACACAGGCACUACAAGUAAAUCCUCAUCAGUUAAAAACCAGCUUUGUGUGGACAAUCCUUUUAUUUAACAUCCCUAAAACACAACGCAG